AUUGAACGCUGGCGGCAUGCCUUACACAUGCAAGUCGAACGGCAGCACGGGAGCAAUCCUGGUGGCGAGUGGCGAACGGGUGAGUAAUAUAUCGGAACGUGCCCAGUCGUGGGGGAUAACGUAGCGAAAGUUACGCUAAUACCGCAUACGAUCUAUGGAUGAAAGCGGGGGAUCGCAAGACCUCGCGCGAUUGGAGCGGC
This 200-nucleotide ribosomal RNA is filed under the name uncultured bacterium. Its description in RNAcentral is "partial 16S ribosomal RNA". It matches the Rfam family "Bacterial small subunit ribosomal RNA", at positions 30 to 230 of the family's 1533-position model. The record is from RNAcentral.